UCUACGGGUGACAGCAGUGGGGAAUAUUCCACAAUGGGGGCAACCCUGAUGCAGCGACGCCGCGUGAGCGAAGAAGUAAUUCGUUACGUAAAGCUCUAUCAGCAGGGAAGAAAAUGACGGUACCUGAGUAAGCAGCCCCGGCUAACUACGUGCCAGCAGCCGCGGGAAUACGUCGGGGGCAAGCGUUAUCCGGAUUUACUGUGUGGAAAGGGAGCGUAGACGGCAGUGCAAGUCUGGAGUGAAAGGCGGGGGCUCAACCCCCGGACUGCUCUGGAAACUGGACGGCUGGAGUGCAGGAGAGGUAAGUGGAAUUCCUAGUGUAGCGGUGAAAUGCGUAGAUAUUAGGAGGAACACCAGUGGCGAAGGCGGCUUACUGGACUGUAACUGACGUUGAGGCUCGAAAGCGUGGGGAGCAAACAGGAUUAGAUACCCCUGUAGUC
Molecule: ribosomal RNA, 440 nt
Filed under: uncultured bacterium
Lineage: Bacteria
Description: partial 16S ribosomal RNA
Rfam family: Bacterial small subunit ribosomal RNA
Source: RNAcentral